AUGCUAUCAAAACAAUGCUGGCGUCUCAUAACCAAUCCAGAGUCUCUUUGUGCGAGGGUACUAAAAGCGAAAUAUUUUCCUAAUCAUAGUCUGCUCCAUGCUACAUUGAAAAAUGGAUCCUCCUUCACUUGGCAAAGUAUCAUGAAAGGAUUGGAAACUUUCAAAUUGGGAUACAUUUGGAGGAUUGGAAACAGUGAGAAGGUCAAUAUAUGGACUGAUCCAUGGAUCCCGGGGAGCCCGGAUAGGAAGGUUAUUUCAGGUCGUGGUCACACUCUGCUCAAUUUUGUUAGUGACUUAAUCGAUCCUAUAUCAGGGACAUGGGAUGAAGCACUGCUUCGAACAAUUAUGAAUCCGGUGGACGUUAGGAGAAUUAUGCAAAUACCGCUGAGUCACAAUGCAUUUGACGAUUUUAUUGCAUGGCAUCCUGACCGCAGAGGGACAUUCACAGUAUGACCGGCGUACAAAAUACAGUGGUAUCAGACUUUUGGGACACACACAAACAUGGUUGAACGCCCAAGGCAAUCCCAAGCUCCAGAAGUGUGGACUAGACUCUGGAAACUAAAUAUACCACGUAAAGUUUCCAUAUUUUGCUGGCGUGCUCUUCAUGGAAUCAUCCCUCUAAAAUCCAUACUGAUGAACAGGCAUGUGGGAUCGGAUGGUGCUUGUCCGGUUUGUCAUGGAGCUACCGAGGAUAUAAAACAUCUUCCUUUUGAAUGUUUGACAGCCAGAGAACUUUGGAGAGGCCUGGGCAUAUUGGAAAUUCUUGACGAAGCUGCAACGGUGGAUCGCUCCGGUUCGGUAAUAUUUACUGUUGGCAGAGGAUAA
Molecule: ribosomal RNA, 825 nt
Filed under: Triticum aestivum (bread wheat)
Lineage: Eukaryota; Viridiplantae; Streptophyta; Magnoliopsida; Poales; Poaceae
Description: partial small subunit ribosomal RNA
Source: RNAcentral